Camelus dromedarius (Arabian camel) is the source of this 2903-nucleotide long non-coding RNA. RefSeq lists it as uncharacterized. The record is from RefSeq and is a predicted model, not a curated record. NCBI's taxonomy places the organism in Eukaryota, Metazoa, Chordata, Mammalia, Artiodactyla, Camelidae. The transcript is spliced from 3 exons.
GCUUGGGGAAGCCUCUCUCUUUCAGUGCCAACACCCAGACCUCCAGGCCCAUCGCGCUGCAUGAGGGAAGUGAAGACCUUCCCUGAGGUGGCUGCAGCCAGCGUUCUGCAGAAUGGAUGGUUUGUUGGCCCUUCGCAGAGACCUCCCUCCAGGGCUCCAGACCCUGCUCCUCCUUGUCUGGCCAUCGAGGGGGGCUCUGACCCCCCACCUCCAUGGGAGAGCAGGAACCUCGCUCCAGUAGGGACUCCGCGAGGUUUGCUGUCAGAGGGGCUGUGUGUUUGCAUAGCUCGUGUCACCACCCCCAGCCAGACUUCCCGGUGGAGGCUGGCCUGGCUUCCUGACGACGAUCUGCUGAGUCAGGUGUUGAAUGGGAACCUGCUUGUGAAAAGAUUCCUGGAAUGAGUCAGCACAUGUUGGACAUGUGAGAAAAGAAGCCUUUGUGGAGGCGGGAGACCCACACCCCAGCACACACACAAGCUCCUGGAGGGGUCUUGGGCCCAGAGAGCGGCACCUGGAAUGCUAAAGGGGCACCCGAAAGUGACGUUGGACCUGCGCCCCCGACGGCGACCGGCAACGCAGGGAGGAAGCGGGACCGCCCCCCGCCCCCUGCGGACUGCAGCCGGGUGCGUGCGCGCGCCGCGGGGCAGCGGGAAGGGGAGGGGCCGGCUCAGAGCCACCCACCCGCGGGGAGCCAGAUGAGCCGAGAGGCUGUCGCCUCCAACCCCGGGGACCACUGAGGGUCUUGGGAGGGCCAGGGCCCGGCUGAGGACCAGGCCCACCCUCCUGCCUGGGUAUGUCCGUUCGCCUGGGAGGAGACCCCCGCAUGGAGGCCCUCUGAGUCUUCGUCUGAAUGCAGAGACUCAGGCACCGCCAGCCCCGGCACAGACCUUCGGUGGGCCAGAGCCCAGGAGACAGUCCUUGGAUGAAGGGGCUCCUUGUAGGGCCCUCUGCCAAACUCCCACGGAGGAUCUGCUCCAACACUGCCUUCUCCAAGAGGCAAGUGUUAACGACAGGCAGACAGACAGUGACAUACUGUCUGACCUUUUACAAAGGUGCCGGAGCAAGCCAACAAAAAAAGGGAAGUCUUUUCAGCAAAUGAUGCUGCAAUAACCAGACAUCCACAUGGAAAAAAUGAACCCUAAUGUCACAUCAUGCACAGAACUUAACUUGUGACACACGGUAGAUUUAAAUGUGAAAGCUAGAAUUGUAAAGUUUAGAGAAAAACAAAGGAAAAUAUCUUCUUGACUUAGUGACAGAGGCUUCAGAGGUCUCAGAAACCAAAAACCAGAAAAGAAUAGAGAAUUCAGAACUCACUGCGAUGUGAAAUGUCUGUUCAUGAAAAGACACAGUUAAGACAGCCAAUCAGCAAGCCACAUUAUGGGAGAAAAUAUUUGCAAAACUAAUACCUGACAAGGACUGGUCUCCAGACUAAACAAAGAGAUACCACUGCUUCAAAAUAAAAAGUCAAACAACCCACUUGGAAAACUCCGUCCUAGUUCACUUUUGCUUUUUUGACCACGUUUGGAUAAGGGCCAGCCAAAGCAAGGACAUGAAUACAACUGUCUUUUAAAGAAUCAAGUCCAUGGCUUGGUGUUUGUCACCAGUGCACCUCAAUGAGGAAAGCCACCCCACCCAAGAGAGUACAUUGGGAGCUGUCAUUAACUGAAGGACAUAAAACAGAAGCAUCCAGAUUAAGCUAGUGUAUUACAUCUUGGGCAGAAAUUGGAAUAUGUGCUUUUUCAGAUGUAACAUUUUAAUUGCCUACAUGAGAGAAAGUUACAUAAAAUGUACACUAACCUCAUUACUAUUCAGUUAUCAGAUAUUGUCCCUGCAACAUGACUGAAGCUGGCAGAGUGAGGGGUGCCUGCCCAGAAUUACCAGAAGUGUGAAAGUCAUCUUUGGCAACAUGAUUUGCAACACAGAGGUUUACGUGUUCCCAUUAAUUAGACCAACUACACUUUUGCUAUCUUAAUCAAGGGUUUAAACGCAGGGAGGGGUAUUUGAAAAUUCCUGUUCCAUGUAAUAGUUCAGUUUACAUGCCCUUGUGGAAGUUACCUGUGACAGUACAUUUCUAAUAAAAUACCACUGUUAGCAAAAUUUUUUUUAAGUUAAAACAACCAAUUUUUUAAAAUUGACAAAAGAUUUGUUCUCAAAAAAGAAAAAAAAAAAAGUGCUUAGUGUCGUUCAUCCUCACGACAGUGCAGAUUAAAACCACAGUGAGAUACCACUUCACGUCUGUUAGAAUGGCAACAAUUUUUUUUAAGUGCUGAUGAGGAUGAAGAGAAAUUGUAACCCUCAUAGGCUGUUGGUUGCAUGCAAACUGAAAGCCCCAGUGGAAGAUCUGUCAGCUUUUGGUGAAGCUAAACGGUGCUACCCUUUGUCCCAGUCCUGGAUGUCUGCCCAGAGAAAUAAAUACAUAUGUCCACGCAACGACUUCAAAAAGCAUGUUCACAGCAGUUUUAUUCACGAUAGCCAAAAACUGGAGUCAGCCCAAGUUUGUCAAUAGGGCGGAUGAACACCGAUGUGUCUAGUGGGGUGCUACUUAGCGAGAUCAAAAUGACAAACUACUGGUGCACGAAACAACACAGAUGAGUCUCAGAAGCAUAAUAACUGAAGAAGCUUUACAGAAGAGUGUGUACUCUGUGAUUCAUUUACAUGACGCCUACAACAGGCAAAACUACAGUGGAGAACAUCAGAACAGUGGGUACGUCUGGUCAUUAGGGUGGACAUGAAAUGGGAAGGGCGGGGGGCACCCUGUGGGGUGAUGGACGCGUCUGUCUGGAUAGCAUCUUGGCUCACACAGCGACAUGUCUUCGCUAAAGCUCAGCAAAGGUAUGAUUAGGAUUUAUGUACUUCAUUGUAAAUUUAACAUUAAAAAUCUGUAAACAAGUACUACACGCAAA